GCCAGCAUGGCAUAGUGGUUUGAAUGUUGGACUAUGACUCUAGAGACCAGGGUUCGAUUCCCCGCUGGGGCA
This 72-nucleotide transfer RNA is filed under the name Phrynosoma platyrhinos (Desert horned lizard). RNAcentral describes it as "tRNA-OTHER". Lineage: Eukaryota; Metazoa; Chordata; Lepidosauria; Squamata; Phrynosomatidae. The record is from RNAcentral.